AGGAUGAACGCUAGCGGCAGGCCUAAUACAUGCAAGUCGGACGGGAUCCAUCGGAGAGCUUGCUCGAAGAUGGUGAGAGUGGCGCACGGGUGCGUAACGCGUGAGCAACCUACCUCUAUCAGGGGGAUAGCCUCUCGAAAGAGAGAUUAACACCGCAUAAUAUAAUUUCCCGGCAUCGAGGAAUUAUUAAAUAUUUAUAGGAUAGAGAUGGGCUCGCGUGACAUUAGCUAGUUGGUAGGGUAACGGCUUACCAAGGCGACGAUGUCUAGGGGCUCUGAGAGGAGAAUCCCCCACACUGGUACUGAGACACGGACAAGACUCCUACGGGAGGCAGCAGUAAGGAAUAUUGGUCAAUGGGCGGAAGCCUGAACCAGCCAUGCCGCGUGCAGGAAGACUGCCCUAUGGGUUGUAAACUGCUUUUGUCCAGGAAUAAACCUAGAUACGUGUAUCUAGCUGAAUGUACUGGAAGAAUAAGGAUCGGCUAACUCCGUGCCAGCAGCCGCGGUAAUACGGAGGAUCCGAGCGUUAUCCGGAUUUAUUGGGUUUAAAGGGUGCGUAGGCGGCCUAUUAAGUCAGGGGUGAAAUACGGUGGCUCAACCAUCGCAGUGCCUUUGAUACUGAUGGGCUUGAAUCCAUUUGAAGUGGGCGGAAUAAGACAAGUAGCGGUGAAAUGCAUAGAUAUGUCUUAGAACUCCGAUUGCGAAGGCAGCUCACUAAGCUGGUAUUGACGCUGAUGCACGAAAGCGUGGGGAUCGAACAGGAUUAGAUACCCUGGUAGUCCACGCCCUAAACGAU
RNAcentral lists this ribosomal RNA (795 nucleotides) under Sphingobacterium caeni. Its description in RNAcentral is "bacterial SSU rRNA". It matches the Rfam family "Bacterial small subunit ribosomal RNA", at positions 26 to 810 of the family's 1533-position model. The record is from RNAcentral. Lineage: Bacteria; Pseudomonadati; Bacteroidota; Sphingobacteriia; Sphingobacteriales; Sphingobacteriaceae.